AGUGAACGCUGGCGGUAGGCCUAACACAUGCAAGUCGAACGGCAGCACAGUAAGAGCUUGCUCUUACGGGUGGCGAGUGGCGGACGGGUGAGGAAUACAUCGGAAUCUACUUUUUCGUGGGGGAUAACGUAGGGAGACUUACGCUAAUACCGCAUACGACCUACGGGUGAAAGCAGGGGAUCUUCGGACCUUGCGCGAUUGAAUGAGCCGAUGUCGGAUUAGCUAGUUGGCGGGGUAAAGGCCCACCAAGGCGACGAUCCGUAGCUGGUCUGAGAGGAUGAUCAGCCACACUGGAACUGAGACACGGUCCAGACUCCUACGGGAGGCAGCAGUGGGGAAUAUUGGACAAUGGGCGCAAGCCUGAUCCAGCCAUACCGCGUGGGUGAAGAAGGCCUUCGGGUUGUAAAGCCCUUUUGUUGGGAAAGAAAAGCAGCAGGUUAAUACCCCGCUGUUCUGACGGUACCCAAGGAAUAAGCACCGGCUAACUUCGUG
This 492-nucleotide ribosomal RNA is filed under the name uncultured bacterium. RNAcentral describes it as "partial 16S ribosomal RNA". It matches the Rfam family "Bacterial small subunit ribosomal RNA", at positions 29 to 507 of the family's 1533-position model. The record is from RNAcentral.